UAAGAACCACACAGUCUUCCACAUUCAGAGGCUGCUAGAGAUGGAUCAGGGCCUUCGUGACCUUUACAGCAUGCCUGCUGAGAUGGAACCGUCAGUGUGUGCCCACCUGAGACCAUUAUGCCAACAGCAGUGCAGUGACUCUUUGAGAAGACAGUGCCAAGAGGUUGGAGAGGAGGGUACGCUGCAUCUCCACAUGCCUGUCGGAUUAUUCACUAGCCAGCGACAGUGGGGUGUUUGAACCUCUAACCAAAAGUCCUUUGUGAUAUCUGCUGGUUUCAUUGUGAGCUGCAAGGAAAUAGAGAGCUGGAGGAUUGAAGCCUAGUCUGAGAAGUUACUCUAUGAGAGAAGCAAACCCCAAAGGUAGAGUGGAAACAACAAUUAUAAGAGGAAAUGUGGCCAGGUGUGGUGGCUCAAGCCUAUAAUCUCAGCACUUUGGGAGGCUGAGGCGAGCAGAUCACCUGAGGUCAGGAGUUUGAGACCAGCUGGGCCAACAUGGUGAAACCCCGUCUCUACUAAAAAUACAAAAAAUUAGCCAGGUGUGGUGGCAUGUGCCUGUAGUCCCAGCUACUUGGGAGACUGAGGCACAAGAAUCACUUGAACCCAGGAGGUGGAUGUUGCAGUGAGCCAAGAUCACGCCAUUACACUCCAGCCUGGGGGACAGAGCAAGACUCCGUCUCAAAAAAAAAAAGAGGAAAUGCAACAAGACACAGCCUGUGGAACCUGCCAAGAAGAAGACAAAGGAAGGAGACUGUCUAGGAUUGAGAUCUGAUUUGUGUGAGGAGGGUUAGUGAUGGAGGGAGAUAAGGGGCAUGAUGUGACAGCAUAGGGACCUGUUUUAAUGAACAGUGUUCAUGGGGAGUUUUGAGAGAUGUUGGGAUGGAAUUAUGACCUUGCCACCUCAAUAAUUAACUAGUUUGUCGGGCGCGGUGGCUCACGCCUGUAAUCCCAGCACUUUGGGAGGCUGAGACGGGCAGAUCAUGAGGUCAGAGAUCGAGACCAUCCUGGCUAACACAGUGAAACCCCGUCUCUACUAAAAAUACAAAAAGAUUAGCCAGGCGAAGUGGCGGGCACCUGUAGUCCCAGCUAUUCG
This 1090-nucleotide long non-coding RNA is filed under the name Pongo abelii (Sumatran orangutan). Its description in RNAcentral is "lncRNA (ENSPPYG00000032843.1)". Lineage: Eukaryota; Metazoa; Chordata; Mammalia; Primates; Hominidae. The record is from RNAcentral.